CCUACGGGAGGCAGCAGUGGGGAAUAUUGGACAAUGGGCGAAAGCCUGAUCCAGCCAUGCCGCGUGUGUGAAGAAGGCCUUCGGGUUGUAAAGCACUUUCAGUGGGGAAGAAAGCCUUGGGGCUAAUACCCUCGAGGAAGGACAUCACCCACAGAAGAAGCACCGGCUAACUCCGUGCCAGCAGCCGCGGUAAUACGGAGGGUGCGAGCGUUAAUCGGAAUUACUGGGCGUAAAGCGCGCGUAGGCGGUCUGAUAAGCCGGUUGUGAAAGCCCCGGGCUCAACCUGGGAACGGCAUCCGGAACUGUCAGGCUAGAGUGCAGGAGAGGAAGGUAGAAUUCCCGGUGUAGCGGUGAAAUGCGUAGAGAUCGGGAGGAAUACCAGUGGCGAAGGCGGCCUUCUGGACUGACACUGACGCUGAGGUGCGAAAGCGUGGGUAGCAAACAGGAUUAGAUACCUAGUAGUC
RNAcentral lists this ribosomal RNA (464 nucleotides) under Vreelandella stevensii. Its description in RNAcentral is "partial 16S ribosomal RNA". It matches the Rfam family "Bacterial small subunit ribosomal RNA", at positions 338 to 795 of the family's 1533-position model. Lineage: Bacteria; Pseudomonadati; Pseudomonadota; Gammaproteobacteria; Oceanospirillales; Halomonadaceae. The record is from RNAcentral.